This 442-nucleotide ribosomal RNA is filed under the name uncultured bacterium. RNAcentral's name for it is "partial 16S ribosomal RNA". It matches the Rfam family "Bacterial small subunit ribosomal RNA", at positions 338 to 795 of the family's 1533-position model. The record is from RNAcentral.
CCUACGAGAGGCAGCAGUGGGGAAUAUUGGGCAAUGGGCGCAAGCCUGACCCAGCAACGCCGCGUGAAGGAAGAAGGCUUUCGGGUUGUAAACUUCUUUUAAGAGGGAAGAGCAGAAGACGGUACCUCUUGAAUAAGCCACGGCUAACUACGGGCCAGCAGCCGCGGUAAUACGUAGGUGGCAAGCGUUGUCCGGAUUUACUGGGUGGAAAGGGCGUGCAGCCGGGAAGACAAGUCAGAUGUGAAAUCCCGCGGCUCAACCGCGGAACUGCAUUUGAAACUGUUUUUCUUGAGUACCGGAGAGGUCAUCGGAAUUCCUUGUGUAGCGGUGAAAUGCGUAGAUAUAAGGAAGAACACCAGUGGCGAAGGCGGAUGACUGGACGGCAACUGACGGUGAGGCGCGAAAGCGUGGGGAGCAAACAGGAUUAGAUACCCCAGUAGUC